This is a non-coding RNA of Callithrix jacchus (white-tufted-ear marmoset), 3947 nucleotides long. The record is from RefSeq and is a predicted model, not a curated record. Lineage: Eukaryota; Metazoa; Chordata; Mammalia; Primates; Cebidae.
UUGGGCGUCGGGGGCCGGGAGCGGGGGUUGUCUCCUAGGCUAGGGAACCACCGAGAUGCCGGGCCUCCGAAGUCCUAGAGAGGGCUCUUCGGCCGCGGACGCCGUCUGCACUUCCGGCCUUUGUGAGCAGUGGCUACAGCGGCCUGCGGCUGUCAGUGCUGUUUGUUCCUACACGCGGCUGGGUGAGGGAUUUCUAGGGACUCCCAGCGAGAAGCAUCUGUCCCCUAGGCACGCAGCGCCAGUCUCUCUCCGGUCCCCCUUUUUUCCCCGAGCCAGCUGGGAAGACUAAAAGGGCAGGGGCUAGGGGCGGUCCAUAGUUCGACCCCUCUUUUCUGGCACCCUUGGAACCUGCAGGCUGCCGAUUUCCGGCCGACCCGGCUCCCAUCAAAAUCCGUGCUGCUGUCCGUGGCAGCUCCUUUUGAAAAUAGCCUGGUAGAAAGUCCGGGUUGUUGAACUGGAAAACGCAUUCUGCAUCCCUUGACUUGCAGUAGACGUCACAUGAAGAUCAAAACAAGAGUUUUGCCUUUCCCAGGAUGGGACACUCCAGCAUAAGGGUACCGGUACUGACGUGUGUUCUCCGUUUACUCUGAGAUAGCUUAUGAGAGAGAUGCAGUGAAAAGCUUGUGGGCAGGGCUCAGGGAAGAGUUCCACAAAGUGGCGUGUAUUCAAAGGAGGGUAGGAAUUGGAUACGUGGACGACAUGCUCCACCAUCCAAGAAGAACAUUCCAGAUGGAGUUCAGACAAAAGCACAAAGUUCGAAAAGUGAGAAGUGCAGAGAAAGUGGCUGUAGUUCAGUGGCAUGGUAUCAGCUCACUGCAACCUCCACCUCCCUGCUUCAAGCAAUUCUCCGGCCUCAGCCUCCCGAGUAGCUGGGAUUACAGACGUGCACCACCACACCCAGCCUCCAAGAUAUACCAUGGAAAUGUAGACAUUUAUGGAUUGCCUUGGAAUGGAAAAGGUAGUAACAGCAACUCCAGGAGUUCCUGCCAAGUUCUACCCCGAGUGGAACAAGUUGCUGAUUGUUCCCUUCCCUGGAUUUUAACCAAGAUUGUGACAAGAAGGAAAUUGCAUGUGGAUAUAACGCUAUAGGAUAAGCAGAGCCUGCUCGAUCCCUUUCCAAGCCUUCUGUGACCUCCCAACUGGAAGCAAUAGCAACGGUGCCCCAUCUGGAGUAGCCACUGCCAUGAUGCUGGCUGCAGUGAGGGAGGCACAGCUGGGACUGCAGCACUCCAUGGAGCUGGAGGGAGCUGCAAACACAUGGAAGCCCCCCUCCUUCCAAGUUGGAGGGGCAGGAGCCCCUGGGAGGAGAGCUCCCAGGAGCAGCUGCAGCCACCCAGCCACAGCCACAAACCCAGGCAUCUCUGCACUCUCAGGAGCCUGGGAAGCCUCUCUGCCCCCACAGGUUUGGAAGUGCCUGUUCCCACUGACUGGCCUCUCCCUGCUCCUGGCACCCACUUUGAUUUCAGAGCAAACUUGUGUCUAAGCCCUGGAGCUGUCACAACCUGGCCGAGUAUAAGCACACUUAGGCAAACCUGAUACACCUGCCCCUUGCCACCCCAGCGCCCUCCAGACUUUGGGCACCCAUGACCACAGGAGGGAUGCCAAGGCAGAGCUAAGGGCAGCUGGGCAUGAGCCUGCAGGCACCCCUCAGUAUGAACAGCCUGACUGCUCUGGACACCAUGAAUGGUAGGACAGUGGUGGCAGGAAGCAGUCCACUAAAUGGAAAGGGGUGAGUCCCCAUUGAAGCCCCACCGUUAGGCCAGGGACAGCCCUGAGGCCUGGAAGUCAGACUGCAAGUUCUGUGGACUGGAGUGAGAACUUACUGUGCUUUUUCAAGGUCUGCCCAUGGACCAAUGAGCAGGCACUUCCUUCCCUCUGAAGCCCAUAAAAACCCCAGACUCAGCCAGAUUCCAGCAGAUAACAGGAUGACUUGCCUGUGGAGAGGAGCUACCCACUGUUGGUCACCUCUGAGCUUCUAAGUUGUUCUGCUGAUUAAAGCACUUCUUCACCUUGCCUACCCUCCACUUGUCCAUGUACCUCAUUCUUCCUGGAUGCAGGACAAGUACUAGGGACCUGCUGAAUGGCAGGGCUGAAAGCUGUAACACAAACUGGGCUGAAACACACCUCUUGCUGGCCACGUUGUGGGUGACAAGAAGGAGAAGAGAGAGAAGGAGAGAAGAGCUUUGGUUCUUCAAGGAUCCCAGACCUAGGAGCUCGCCAAGCCAGGGCUGUGACAUGCUCUUUGGGGCUCCGUGGUUACUGGUGUCUCCAAGCUUCUGGGCACCACUGCAUUCCCUGGUGCCAGCCAUGGAAGCUGCUUGCAGUAUGCCUGGUCCAGCCACAGCCUUGCAGGGAGCAGGCACAUGGAGCUGCCUGCCCUGCCACAGGCAGCAUGCCUGGCUGUGCUCAGUGACCUGACCCCACACUCACACACCCCUCACCCCUCUAUGCCUGGCUCACUGUUGGCAAGUAUGGGAUCAAGACUGGUAGCAUGAGCCAAGAGCAGCCUGCCAAGCCAAGUGGGCAGAAUGAGCCCAGAGGGCCCAAGCAAAACUCCAGCAAAGGCACCACUGGCCACAGAGGUUUCUGGCCAGAAAAAUCCCAAGGAUCCUGUGACAGAAGCUAGGGGGAAAAAACAUGGAUUUUGCAUAUGAAGGGCAACCAAGAGGCCAAGAAAGGAAUUUGUGUAUGAUGCUCCAACAUUUCCCAUGCUAAUUAAGAUGAUGGUAGGAUUUCAUGAUAUACCAGUUCCAAGGAAAGUCAUCACCCAAUGCUGGAUGAACUCAUGGCUGCCUUCGCAAUGUAGUAGGGAGGUGAUUCUCCAGUGAAACUUUGUGGUCUUUCGGGGCCAGGAUGGGAAGAAACCUUUAACAACAGUUCACAGCUCACUUUUCCACGCAAGGAAGCAUACCUCAAGGUCCUUCAUGCAUGGUUUCUGCAACACAGCAUGACACGCCAGAGGAACCCUUCCCUUCAGCAUUGACCCCACUAGCUUUCACAGCAUGAAAGUCAAACUUAGGAGCCCAUAAUUUCUAGGGUGCCCUUCAGGAACUUUUAUUUGCUCAGGGCAGCUAAUUUUUAAUUUGUGGUGUUUUUAAGCACCGUAUCUCUUUGUAAUCAUAAAUGAUUACAUUUCAUGAUUCUUUCAGCACUUUCAUCUUUGAGUUCCUUCAAAACUCUUGUGUGGAUACCACCUAAUCUCAUCAGCUGAGCUUGUUUGCUGACAGGUCUAGAACCUUGGGGUUACCAAUGUUAUUGCCUAUAGCCCCUCUGACUGUGGGACCAGUAACCUCAUUUCUUGGAAUCUACCCUUAGAAAGUAAUCAAAGAUGUUGAGUAUGGACACAGUGGCUCCCACCUGUAAUCCCAGCACUUUGAGAGGCCAAGGUGGGCAGAUCACUUGAGGCAAGGAAUUCAAGACCAGCCUGGCCAACACAGUAAAACCCCAUCUCUACUAAAAAUACAAAAAUUAGCCAGGCAUGGUGGUGGGCACCUGUGAUCACUGCUACUUGGGAGGCUGAGGCAUGAGAAUCUCUUGAGCCCAGGAGGUGGAGGUUGCAGUGAGUUGAGAUCAUGCCAUUGCACUCCAACAUGGCAACUGAAGGAAACUCUGUCUCAAAAAAAAAAAGACAGGUGCAGUGUCUCAUGCCUGUAAUCCUAGCACUUCAGAAGGCCAAGGCUGGCAGAUCACUUGACACCAAUAGUUCAAGACCAGCCUGGCCAAUGGGGUGAAACCUUGUCUCUAUUAAAAAUACGAAAAUUAGCCAGGUAUGGUGGUGGGCACCUGUAAUCCCAGCUAUUCGAGAGACUGAGGCAGGAGAAUCGCUUGAACCUGGGAGGUGGAUGUUGCAGUGAGCCAAAUUAUGUCAUCUCACUCCAGCCUGGGCAACAGAGAAACACUCUGUCUUUAAAAAAUAAAAUAAAAUAAAAAAACAUAUUCUUUCUAAA